CUAAUACCGCAUAAGCGCACAGGACCGCAUGGUCCGGUGUGAAAAACUCCGGUGGUAUAGGAUGGACCCGCGUUGGAUUAGCCAGUUGGCAGGGUAACGGCCUACCAAAGCGACGAUCCAUAGCCGGCCUGAGAGGGUGAACGGCCACAUUGGGACUGAGACACGGCCCAGACUCCUACGGGAGGCAGCAGUGGGGAAUAUUGCACAAUGGGGGAAACCCUGAUGCAGCGACGCCGCGUGAAGGAAGAAGUAUCUCGGUAUGUAAACUUCUAUCAGCAGGGAAGAUAGUGACGGUACCUGACUAAGAAGCCCCGGCUAACUACGUGCCAGCAGCCGCGGUAAUACGUAGGGGGCAAGCGUUAUCCGGAUUUACUGGGUGUAAAGGGAGCGUAGACGGAUUAGCAAGUCUGAUGUGAAAGGCAGGGGCUCAACCCCUGGACUGCAUUGGAAACUGCCAGUCUUGAGUGCCGGAGAGGUAAGCGGAAUUCAUAGUGUAGCGGUGAAAUGCGUAGAUAUUAGGAGG
RNAcentral lists this ribosomal RNA (523 nucleotides) under uncultured Lachnospiraceae bacterium. Its description in RNAcentral is "bacterial SSU rRNA". It matches the Rfam family "Bacterial small subunit ribosomal RNA", at positions 163 to 704 of the family's 1533-position model. The record is from RNAcentral. Lineage: Bacteria; Bacillati; Bacillota; Clostridia; Lachnospirales; Lachnospiraceae.